Molecule: ribosomal RNA, 403 nt
Filed under: uncultured bacterium
Lineage: Bacteria
Description: partial 16S ribosomal RNA
Rfam family: Bacterial small subunit ribosomal RNA
Source: RNAcentral
AUUGAACGCUGGCGGCAGGCCUAACACAUGCAAGUCGAGCGAGCGGCGGACGGGUGAGUAAUGUAUGGGGACUGCCCGAUAGAGGGGGAUAACUACUGGAAACGGUGGCUAAUACCGCAUACUAUCGGAUAACCCAUAUGGGAUUAGCGAGUGGGUGGGGAAAAGGCUCACCUAGGCGACGAUCUCUAGCUGGUCGGAGAGGAGGAUGAGCCAAAUUGGAACGAGGAAACGGCCCAGAUUCCUACGGAGGCAGCAGUGGGGAAUAUUGGACAAGGGGCGAAAGCCGGAUGCAGCCAUGCCGCGGGGAGGAAGAAGGCCUUAGGGUUGUAAAGUAUUUUCAGCGGGGAGGCGUUACCCGCAGAAGAAGCACCGGCUAACUCCGUGCCAGCAGCCGCGGUAAUAC